UACGUAGGGUGCAAGCGUUGUCCGGAAUUAUUGGGCGUAAAGAGCUCGUAGGCGGUCUGUCGCGUCGGCUGUGAAAUCCCGGAGCUCAACUCCGGGUCUGCAGUCGAUACGGUCAAACUGGAGUACUGCAGGGGAGACUGGAAUUCCUGGUGUAGCGGUGAAAUGCGCAGAUAUCAGGAGGAACACCGGUGGCGAAGGCGGGUCUCUGGGCAGUAACUGACGCUGAGGAGCGAAAGCGUGGGGAGCGAACAGG
This 253-nucleotide ribosomal RNA is filed under the name uncultured bacterium. RNAcentral's name for it is "partial 16S ribosomal RNA". It matches the Rfam family "Bacterial small subunit ribosomal RNA", at positions 524 to 776 of the family's 1533-position model. The record is from RNAcentral.